UGGGUAGAUGGCGGAAUUAGGUAUACGCACCAUAUUCAAAAUUUGGUAACUUUAGUUAUGAGGGUUCAAAUCCCUCUCUACCUAUC
RNAcentral lists this transfer RNA (86 nucleotides) under Dasyclonium flaccidum. Its description in RNAcentral is "tRNA-Leu". It matches the Rfam family "tRNA". Rfam says of the family: Transfer RNA (tRNA) molecules are approximately 80 nucleotides in length. The record is from RNAcentral. Lineage: Eukaryota; Rhodophyta; Florideophyceae; Ceramiales; Rhodomelaceae.